This 342-nucleotide ribosomal RNA is filed under the name Clostridioides difficile. Its description in RNAcentral is "partial 23S ribosomal RNA". It matches the Rfam family "Bacterial large subunit ribosomal RNA", at positions 458 to 801 of the family's 2925-position model. Lineage: Bacteria; Bacillati; Bacillota; Clostridia; Peptostreptococcales; Peptostreptococcaceae. The record is from RNAcentral.
CUCCAAGGCUAAAUACUACCUAGUGACCGAUAGCGUAUAGUACCGUGAGGGAAAGGUGAAAAGAACCCCGGGAGGGGAGUGAAAUAGAACCUGAAACCCUGCACUUACAAGCUGUGGAAGCACAUUUCUUGUGUGACCGCGUACUUUUUGUAGAACGGGCCAACGAGUUACGUUAAGUAGCAAGGUUAAGCACUUAAGGUGCGGAGCCGUAGCGAAAGCGAGUUUUAACUGAGCGUUCAGUUAUUUGACGUAGACCCGAAACCGGGCGACCUACCCAUGAGCAGGAUGAAGCGAAAGUAAAAUUUCGUGGAGGUCCGAACCCACGAGCGUUGAAAAGCUCGG